This 253-nucleotide ribosomal RNA is filed under the name uncultured bacterium. Its description in RNAcentral is "partial 16S ribosomal RNA". It matches the Rfam family "Bacterial small subunit ribosomal RNA", at positions 524 to 776 of the family's 1533-position model. The record is from RNAcentral.
UACGGAGGGUGCGAGCGUUGUCCGGAAUCACUGGGCGUAAAGGGCGCGUAGGCGGUCUGCUAAGCGUGCGGUGAAAGCCUGGGGCUCAACCCCAGGUCUGCCGUGCGAACUGGUGGACUUGAGCACUGUAGAGGCAGGUGGAAUUCCGGGUGUAGCGGUGGAAUGCGUAGAGAUCCGGAAGAACACCGGUGGCGAAGGCGGCCUGCUGGGCAGUAGCUGACGCUGAGGCGCGACAGCGUGGGGAGCGAACAGG